GAAAACGCGAGGUGGAGCUAAUCUCAUAAAACCGUUCUCAGUUCGGAUUGUAGGCUGCAACUCGCCUACAUGAAGCUGGAAUCGCUAGUAAUCGCGGAUCAGCAUGCCGCGGUGAAUACGUUCCCGGGCCUUGUACACACCGCCCGUCACACCACGAGAGUUUGUAACACCCGAAGUCGGUGGGGUAACCUUUUUGGAGCCAGCCGCCUAAGGUGGGACAGAUGAUUGGGGUGAAGUCGUAACAAGGAAGCCGUAUA
RNAcentral lists this ribosomal RNA (257 nucleotides) under Bacillus cereus. Its description in RNAcentral is "partial 16S ribosomal RNA". It matches the Rfam family "Bacterial small subunit ribosomal RNA", at positions 1251 to 1506 of the family's 1533-position model. The record is from RNAcentral. Lineage: Bacteria; Bacillati; Bacillota; Bacilli; Caryophanales; Bacillaceae.